RNAcentral lists this ribosomal RNA (433 nucleotides) under uncultured bacterium. Its description in RNAcentral is "bacterial SSU rRNA". It matches the Rfam family "Bacterial small subunit ribosomal RNA", at positions 30 to 451 of the family's 1533-position model. The record is from RNAcentral.
AGCGAACGUUAGCGGCGGGCUUAACACAUGCAAGUCGAGCGAGAAAGGGGCUUCGGCCCUGAGUACAGCGGCGGACGGGUGAAUAACACGUAGGUAACCUUCCUUCCAGCGGGGGACAACGGUCCGAAAGGACCGCUAAUACCGCAUACGUUCCCUGGGACCCGUGGUCCCGGGGACGGGAAAGCUCCGCAAGGGGCGACUGGAUGAGGGGCCGUGCGUAGCAUCAGCUAGUUGGUGGGGUAAUGGCCUACCAAGGCUAAGACGCUUAGCUGGUCUGAGAGGAUGAUCAGCCACACUGGGACUGAGACACGGCCCAGACUCCUACGGGAGGCAGCAGUGGGGAAUAUUGGACAAUGGGCGCAAGCCUGAUCCAGCCACGCCGCGUGAGUGAUGAAGGCCUCGGUCGUAAAGACUCUGUGGGGAGGGGACGGAA